UACGGAGGUGGCAAGCGUUGCUCGGAUUCACUGGGUGUAAAGGGCAAGUAGGCGGCUUCGUAAGUCGGGCGUGAAAUCCCGUGGCUCAACCAUGGGGCUGCGCCCGAAACUGCGAGGCUAGAGGAUGGGAGAGGCGAACGGAAUUCCCGGUGUAAGGGUGAAAUCUGUAGAUAUCGGGAGGAACACCAGUGGCGAAGGCGGUUCGCUGGACCAUUUCUGACGCUGAGAGGCGAAAGCUAGGGGAGCAAACAGG
Molecule: ribosomal RNA, 253 nt
Filed under: uncultured bacterium
Lineage: Bacteria
Description: partial 16S ribosomal RNA
Rfam family: Bacterial small subunit ribosomal RNA
Source: RNAcentral